Molecule: ribosomal RNA, 206 nt
Filed under: uncultured bacterium
Lineage: Bacteria
Description: partial 16S ribosomal RNA
Rfam family: Bacterial small subunit ribosomal RNA
Source: RNAcentral
UGCGUAGGUGGUCGGGUAAGUCUGAUGUGAAAUCCCGCAGCUUAACUGCGGAAUGGCAUUGGAUACUAUUCGGCUAGAGGGUUGGAGGGGGGACUGGAAUUCUCGGUGUAGCAGUGAAAUGCGUAGAUAUCGAGAGGAACACCAGUGGCGAAGGCGAGUCCCUGGACAACUCCUGACGCUGAGGCACGAAAGCUAGGGAGCAAACA